This 199-nucleotide long non-coding RNA is filed under the name Elaeis guineensis (African oil palm). RNAcentral describes it as "long non-coding RNA (EGUI_LNC071329)". Lineage: Eukaryota; Viridiplantae; Streptophyta; Magnoliopsida; Arecales; Arecaceae. The record is from RNAcentral.
UCUUCUCAUUCUUGAUCCAUCUUCUCUAACAUGAAUCUCAGUCAUUUGGAUCUUUGAUUAACCAUUGAUCUUUAUCCACGAUGUCAACACUUGAACUACAGUCUAUCUCCUUUUUUCUUGAUGUAGAAGAGAUCACCCAACACUUGGGCGUAUGGGAAGGUGGGAUGCCCAACCCUUAGGCAUUGGAGAGAGAGGAGAA